CGCGGAGCUGGUACCCUGCAGUCUCCUGCUAGCGGGCGGGGGUGGCUUGUGAGGGCGCUGCGGCCGGUUCAUGGCGCGGGCGGUACCGGCCUCUGCAGGUGACGGAGGCACAGCGAGGGCCGCCCCGGCGUAGAGUUCCAAAAGAUGAGUCAUGGAUAUUCAGAAAACAACAAUUUCCUAAACAAUAACAACCAAAUGGUGUUGGACAUGAUCCUUUACCCAUUAAUUGGAAUCCACCAGACCAUCAACUGGGAAUCAGUGGCAAGGCUUGUGCCUGGAUUAACACCCAAAGAGUGUGCAAAGAGGUUUGAUGAACUGAAGAACAGUGGAAGCUCACCUGUGGACAACCACUGUAGUCCCCUCAUGGCUGCUGGAGAGAGUCCUGUUGAAACUUUAGCCACGUAUAUCAAAUCCUCGCUUCUUGGCACACAAAGAGAAUUUCAGGAGACUUCAGUUGGUCAGGAUGCAGUUUCUAAAACAGGAAGACAUAGUAUAGCUUCCACAAGGAAUUGUUCUUCAGAAAGUGAAAAUUGUACUACUCAUAAUGGUGGAGAAAAGACUGAAGAAUCUGAAGGGCCAAACAUGGUGAUCCAUGUAUGUGAUGAAGCAAAAAACUUGAAAGAAGAUUUUAUUUGCCCACGAGAUCUUUUGAUAUCAGAAAUGAAGUACUUUGCUGAAUAUUUAUCUGUGGACGCCCAGCGCUGGGAAGAGGUGGACAUUUCAGUUCAUUGUGACGUUCACAUUUUCAACUGGUUGAUAAAAUAUGUUAAAAGGAACACUAAGGAGAAUAAAGAUUGUGAGAUGCCCACUUUAGAGCCAGGAAAUGUCAUUUCAAUUCUUAUUUCUUCAGAAUUUUUGAAAAUGGAUUCAUUAGUUGAACAAUGUAUUCAGUAUUGCCACAAAAAUAUGAAUGCCAUAGUAGCUACCCCAUGCAACAUGAAUUGUAUUAAUGCAAAUCUUCUUACACGUAUAGCUGAUCUGUUCACACACAGUGAAAUUGAUGAUUUAAAGGACAAGAAAGAUAAGUUUAGGAGUAAACUUUUUUGUAAGAAGAUUGAGAGACUGUUUGAUCCAGAAUACUUGAAUCCAGAUUCUCAGAAUAAUGCAGCAACAUUAUACAGAUGCUGUUUGUGUAAGAAACUUUUAACAAAAGAAACAGAAAGAAGAAUUCCGUGCAUUCCUGGAAAAAUCAAUGUGGAUCAACAUGGAAAUAUUAUCUACAUUCAUAUAAGAGAUAAGACUUGGGAUGUUCAUGAGUAUUUGAAUAGUCUUUCUGAAGAAUUAAAAUCUUGGAGAGAUGUAUAUUGGCGCUUGUGGGGAACAGUCAACUGGCUAACUUGUUCAAGAUGUUAUCAGGCUUUUCUGUGUAUAGAGUUUUCACAUUGUCAAUAUCACUCAGAAACAGUGAUUUAUCCUACUGCAGGAAGUUCGCUAAGUUCUGUUGGCACUGGAAUCUAUCCCUGCUGUAACCAAAAGGUUCUUCGGUUUGACCCCACUCAGCUUACAAAGGGUUGUAAAGUGAAGGACCACAUGGUGGUUCUUCGUGAUCAAGGUGAAGGUGAAGAUUUGCUGUCCUGCCCAACUGCCAGAAUACUGGAUGAUCUGCAGAAACACAAAGAUGUCAUUCUUGUGCCUUUUGCUAAAGAUACAGUCAGUGAUUCUGGUGGUCCCUGUGAUGAAAAGGGUCUAGACUGUGAUGUUUUACUGGAGCCAAAUACACCAUGGGGCCCCAAGAGUGGGGAGCUCAAUGCUUUCUUAUCACUGAAAAACUGGACACUGCAGCUGAAACAGCAGUCAUUAUUUUCAGAAGAAGAAGAAUAUACCACUGGGUCCGAGGUCACUGAAGAUGAAGUUGGAGAUGAAGAAGAAGUAUCCAAGAAACAAAGGAAAAAGGAGAAGCCAAAGAAAUUCACUAAACAACCAAAAAAGCAGAUGUCUUCACCCUGUGGUCAGAAGAAAGAAAAGGCAUUGGAGAAGGAAGGAGUAAAAAGCCAGUCAACUUCUAGAGAUGUGUCUCCUUUCAUUGUGAGUAUGCAGAAGAAUAAGUGGGAUGCCACAAGAUCCUUGAGAUUCAACCAAGAUGCACAAAGAGAAGAUGAUCAACGGCGGAUGUCUGAAAUUACAGGGCACCUAAUAAAGAUGAGAUUGGGUGAUCUGGACCAAGUCAAGUCAAAGGAAGCAAAAGAAUUUGCAGGAGGUAUUUAUUCCAGGCUCGAAGCACAAAUCAAGGCCUCAGUGCCAGUCAGUGCACGGCAAAGCAGCUCGGAGAAAAACACAAGGUCUAAAAGUCGUUUUGGUCAAGGUCGGCUUGCGUAAAGCACCUUAAACUAUAAGAAGACAGAAGACUCACCUCUGGACAUCUGAAAUUGUUCAUCACUUCUUGAAGAUGGAGAAACUGAGUCCCAGACAUGGCAACUUGUCUAAGAGAAACAGAAAAGAAUGACCUGAGCAAUGGGCCCUUGAUGACGAGUUGCUGUACCAGCUUGGCCUCCUGUUAGCAGUAUGUGAGAGUCCCUGUUGUUCAGCUUCCUCACCAACAAUGAAGGUUGUAUCAUCAGGAUGACUAAAUUAAGCCACAAUAACCAAGAACCACCAGUGACUUAAUUCAAAGGUUUGUUUCUUGCUGCAAGUGCAGUGCAGGUAAACAGUGAAGGGCCGUUUGUCACAGUCACUCAGGGACCUGGGCUGAGAGGAUCCAUCCUGACACAUGCUUCUGAGAGGCAGGGAGAAAGAACUAAAGGUCUCACACUCUGGCUGUGAAAGUUUCUGCACAGAAGUGACGGACAUCACUUCUGCUCACAUUUAAUGGGCCAGAACAAGACGUGAUCACCUCAAAGCAUCCCCAUUCCUACCUUUAGGGUGUGAAUGUUUGUGAAUGGUUACCAAGGUACUGAUAGACUUUAAUUUUUAUUAGUCUAAUGAGUAUGAAAUGGUGACUUGUUAUUUUUAUUUAUAUGCUCCUGAUUAUUACUGAGGUUGAGCAUAUAUUCAGGUGUUUAUUGCCCAAGUGUGUUUAGUCCUUUAAAAAUUGCCUGUUGAUAUCCUUUGCCCAUUUUUCUAUUGGGUUUUAAAAAUCUAAUUUUGUAGGAUAUGUUUAUAAUCUGGCUACUAAUCCUUUAUUGAUUCUAUGCACUAUAAAUGUCUUCUUCCAGACUGUGGCAUUUGCUUUCCACUUUGUUU
Molecule: non-coding RNA, 3180 nt
Organism: Globicephala melas (long-finned pilot whale)
Lineage: Eukaryota; Metazoa; Chordata; Mammalia; Artiodactyla; Delphinidae
Source: RefSeq, a predicted model, not a curated record